RNAcentral lists this ribosomal RNA (253 nucleotides) under uncultured bacterium. RNAcentral's name for it is "partial 16S ribosomal RNA". It matches the Rfam family "Bacterial small subunit ribosomal RNA", at positions 524 to 776 of the family's 1533-position model. The record is from RNAcentral.
UACGUAGGGGGCAAGCGUUGUCCGGAUUUAUUGGGCGUAAAGCGCGUGUAGGCGGCUUUACAGGUCCGUUGUGAAAACUCGAGGCUCAACCUCGAGACGCCGGUGGAAACCGUAAAGCUAGAGUCCGGAAGAGGAGAGUGGAAUUCCUGGUGUAGCGGCGAAAUGCGCAGAUAUCAGGAGGAACACCCGUGGCGAAAGCGGCUCUCUGGGACGGUACUGACGCUGAGACGCGAAAGCGUGGGGAGCAAACAGG